AAAGAUUAAGCCAAGCAUGUCUAAGUAUAAGCAAUCUAUACGGUGAAACUGCGAAUGGCUCAUUAAAUCAGUUAUCGUUUAUUUGAUAGUACCUAACCUACUUGGAUAACCGUGGUAAUUCUAGAGCUAAUACAUGCUAAAAACCUCGACUUCGGAAGGGGUGUAUUUAUUAGAUAAAAAACCAAUGCCCUUCGGGGCUCCUUGGUGAUUCAUAAUAACUCAACGAAUCGCAUGGCCUUGCGCCGGCGAUGGUUCAUUCAAAUUUCUGCCCUAUCAACUUUCGAUGGUAGGAUAGUGGCCUACCAUGGUGUUAACGGGUAACGGGGAAUUAGGGUUCGAUUCCGGAGAGGGAGCCUGAGAAACGGCUACCACAUCCAAGGAAGGCAGCAGGCGCGCAAAUUACCCAAUCCCGACACGGGGAGGUAGUGACAAUAAAUACCGAUACAGGGCCCUUUCGGGUCUUGUAAUUGGAAUGAGUACAAUUAAUCCUUAACGAGAACAAUUUU
This 506-nucleotide ribosomal RNA is filed under the name uncultured Leptodontidium. Its description in RNAcentral is "SSU rRNA". It matches the Rfam family "Eukaryotic small subunit ribosomal RNA", at positions 39 to 551 of the family's 1831-position model. The record is from RNAcentral. Lineage: Eukaryota; Fungi; Ascomycota.